Molecule: ribosomal RNA, 564 nt
Filed under: Triticum aestivum (bread wheat)
Lineage: Eukaryota; Viridiplantae; Streptophyta; Magnoliopsida; Poales; Poaceae
Description: partial small subunit ribosomal RNA
Source: RNAcentral
UGGCGUGUUAUUAAAUGUGCUUUCCCAGAAAAUGAUGUUGGCAGCAGAAUAAUAGCAACUACAAGAAUUAAGGAUGUGGCUAGGGCAUGCUGCUCAAAUCGACAUGAUCAUAUUUUAGAAAUGCAGCCCCUUAGCGAUGUAGACUCAAGAAGAAUAUUUUUUAAUAGAAUAUUUGGCUCGGAGGAAGCUUGUCCUAAGCAUCUUGGAGAUGUUUCAGUUCAAAUUCUCAAAAAAUGUGGUGGUUUGCCACUUGCAAUAGUUAGUAUAUCCAGCUUACUAGCCAGCGAAGGUCCCAACCAAAAGGAAAUGUGGGAACAUGUACUGAAUUCUUUGGGCUCAGGAACAAAUUUCACACUAGAAGGCAUGAGGCAAGUAUUAGACCUCGGCUAUAGAGAUCUUCCUCCUCACCUCAAGACAUGCUUGUUAUACCUUGGUAUGUAUCCAGAGGACUACACGAUAGGAAGGUCAAAUUUGGUACGCCAAUCGUGGUUGAAUGUUUUAUCAGUAAAGAAAGUGGACAGGAUGUGGAGAAGGCUGCAAAUAAUUAUUUCAAUGAGCUUGUGA